UAGGGAAUCUUCCGCAAUGGGCGAAAGCCUGACGGAGCAACGCCGCGUGAGUGAUGAAGGUCUUCGGUUCGUAAAACUCUGUUAUUAGGGAAGAACAAAUGUGUAAGUAACUAUGCACGUCUUGACGGUACCUAAUCAGAAAGCCACGGCUAACUACGUGCCAGCAGCCGCGGUAAUACGUAGGUGGCAAGCGUUAUCCGGAAUUAUUGGGCGUAAAGCGCGCGUAGGCGGUUUUUUAAGUCUGAUGUGAAAGCCCACGGCUCAACCGUGGAGGGUCAUUGGAAACUGGAAAACUUGAGUGCAGAAGAGGAAAGUGGAAUUCCAUGUGUAGCGGUGAAAUGCGCAGAGAUAUGGAGGAGCACCAGUGGCGAAGGCGACUUUCUGGUCUGUAACUGACGCUGAUGUGCGAAAGCGUGGGGAUCAAACAGG
RNAcentral lists this ribosomal RNA (429 nucleotides) under Actinomycetes bacterium. RNAcentral's name for it is "Actinobacteria bacterium partial 16S ribosomal RNA". It matches the Rfam family "Bacterial small subunit ribosomal RNA", at positions 355 to 776 of the family's 1533-position model. The record is from RNAcentral. Lineage: Bacteria; Bacillati; Actinomycetota; Actinomycetes.